GUAUUGCUGAGGAGUCUCAUAAUAGGACGAAACGGCCGUCCAGUGC
This 46-nucleotide non-coding RNA is filed under the name Schistosoma mansoni. The record is from RNAcentral. Lineage: Eukaryota; Metazoa; Platyhelminthes; Trematoda; Strigeidida; Schistosomatidae. RNAcentral also lists the same sequence under 2 other names.